Molecule: ribosomal RNA, 301 nt
Filed under: uncultured bacterium
Lineage: Bacteria
Description: partial 16S ribosomal RNA
Rfam family: Bacterial small subunit ribosomal RNA
Source: RNAcentral
CAGCCGCCACGGGAAAACGAAGGGGGCUAGCGUUGCUCGGAAUGACUGGGCGUAAAGGGCGCGUAGGCGGCGAUCAAAGUCAGGCGUGAAAUUCCUGGGCUCAACCUGGGGGCUGCGUUUGAUACUUGAUUGCUAGAGUGGGGAAGAGGGUCGUGGAAUUCCCAGUGUAGAGGUGAAAUUCGUAGAUAUUGGGAAGAACACCGGUGGCGAAGGCGGCGACCUGGUCCUUGACUGACGCUGAGGCGCGAAAGCGUGGGGAGCAAACUGGAUUAGAUACCCCUGUAGUCCCUGUCUCUUAUAC